CGAUUAAGUUAUUAAGGGCGCACGGUGGAUGCCUUGGCACUAGAAGCCGAUAAAGGACGUUACUAACGACGAUAUGCUUUGGGGAGCUGUAAGUAAGCUGUGAUCCAGAGAUUUCCGAAUGGGGAAACCCAGCACGAGUUAUGUCGUGUUAUCGACAUGUGAAUAUAUAUCAUGUCUGA
Molecule: ribosomal RNA, 179 nt
Filed under: Staphylococcus arlettae
Lineage: Bacteria; Bacillati; Bacillota; Bacilli; Caryophanales; Staphylococcaceae
Description: partial 23S ribosomal RNA
Rfam family: Bacterial large subunit ribosomal RNA
Source: RNAcentral